UAGGGAAUCUUCCACAAUGGACGCAAGUCUGAUGGAGCAACGCCGCGUGAGUGAAGAAGGUUUUCGGAUCGUAAAGCUCUGUUGUUGGUGAAGAAGGAUAGAGGCAGUAACCGGUCUUUAUUUGACGGUAAUCAACCAGAAAGUCACGGCUAACUACGUGCCAGCAGCCGCGGUAAUACGUAGGUGGCAAGCGUUGUCCGGAUUUAUUGGGCGUAAAGCGAGCGCAGGCGGAAUGAUAAGUCUGAUGUGAAAGCCCACGGCUCAACCGUGGAACUGCAUCGGAAACUGUCAUUCUUGAGUGCAGAAGAGGAGAGUGGAACUCCAUGUGUAGCGGUGGAAUGCGUAGAUAUAUGGAAGAACACCAGUGGCGAAGGCGGCUCUCUGGUCUGCAACUGACGCUGAGGCUCGAAAGCAUGGGUAGCGAACAGAUUAGAUACCCUGGUAGUCCAUGCCGUAAACGAUGAGCGCUAGGUGUUGGGGACUUUCCGGUCCUCAGUGCCGCAGCAAACGCAUUAAGCGCUCCGCCUGGGGAGUACGACCGCAAGGUUGAAAC
This 553-nucleotide ribosomal RNA is filed under the name uncultured bacterium. Its description in RNAcentral is "partial 16S ribosomal RNA". It matches the Rfam family "Bacterial small subunit ribosomal RNA", at positions 355 to 900 of the family's 1533-position model. The record is from RNAcentral.